GAUAAACGCUGGCGGCGUGCCUAAUACAUGCAAGUCGAGCGAACGGACGAGAAGCUUGCUUCUCUGAUGUUAGCGGCGGACGGGUGAGUAACACGUGGAUAACCUACCUAUAAGACUGGGAUAACUUCGGGAAACCGGAGCUAAUACCGGAUAAUAUUUUGAACCGCAUGGUUCAAAAGUGAAAGACGGUCUUGCUGUCACUUAUAGAUGGAUCCGCGCUGCAUUAGCUAGUUGGUAAGGUAACGGCUUACCAAGGCAACGAUGCAUAGCCGACCUGAGAGGGUGAUCGGCCACACUGGAACUGAGACACGGUCCAGACUCCUACGGGAGGCAGCAGUAGGGAAUCUUCCGCAAUGGGCGAAAGCCUGACGGAGCAACGCCGCGUGAGUGAUGAAGGUCUUCGGAUCGUAAAACUCUGUUAUUAGGGAAGAACAUAUGUGUAAGUAACUGUGCACAUCUUGACGGUACCUAAUCAGAAAGCCACGGCUAACUACGUGCCAGCAGCCGCGGUAAUACGUAGGUGGCAAGCGUUAUCCGGAAUUAUUGGGCGUAAAGCGCGCGUAGGCGGUUUUUUAAGUCUGAUGUGAAAGCCCACGGCUCAACCGUGGAGGGUCAUUGGAAACUGGAAAACUUGAGUGCAGAAGAGGAAAGUGGAAUUCCAUGUGUAGCGGUGAAAUGCGCAGAGAUAUGGAGGAACACCAGUGGCGAAGGCGACUUUCUGGUCUGUAACUGACGCUGAUGUGCGAAAGCGUGGGGAUCAAACAGGAUUAGAUACCCUGGUAGUCCACGCCGUAAACGAUGAGUGCUAAGUGUUAGGGGGUUUCCGCCCCUUAGUGCUGCAGCUAACGCAUUAAGCACUCCGCCUGGGGAGUACGACCGCAAGGUUGAAACUCAAGGGAAUUGACGGGGACCCGCACAAGCGGUGGAGCAUGUGGUUUAAUUCGAAGCAACGCGAAGAACCUUACCAAAUCUUGACAUCCUUUGACAACUCUAGAGAUAGAGCCUUCCCCUUCGGGGGACAAAGUGACAGGUGGUGCAUGGUUGUCGUCAGCUCGUGUCGUGAGAUGUUGGGUUAAGUCCCGCAACGAGCGCAACCCUUAAGCUUAGUUGCCAUCAUUAAGUUGGGCACUCUAAGUUGACUGCCGGUGACAAACCGGAGGAAGGUGGGGAUGACGUCAAAUCAUCAUGCCCCUUAUGAUUUGGGCUACACACGUGCUACAAUGGACAAUACAAAGGGCAGCGAAACCGCGAGGUCAAGCAAAUCCCAUAAAGUUGUUCUCAGUUCGGAUUGUAGUCUGCAACUCGACUACAUGAAGCUGGAAUCGCUAGUAAUCGUAGAUCAGCAUGCUACGGUGAAUACGUUCCCGGGUCU
Molecule: ribosomal RNA, 1372 nt
Filed under: uncultured bacterium
Lineage: Bacteria
Description: bacterial SSU rRNA
Rfam family: Bacterial small subunit ribosomal RNA
Source: RNAcentral